UUCUUAUCCAGAGAGGUGGAGGGACUGGCCCUUUGAAACCUCAGCAACAGACUUUUGUACUGUGCUAAUUCCAGAAGCAACAUGCUUGGAGAUAAGAA
RNAcentral lists this non-coding RNA (98 nucleotides) under Virgibacillus sp. Its description in RNAcentral is "SAM-I sequence". It matches the Rfam family "SAM riboswitch aptamer (S box leader)". From Rfam's summary of the family: The SAM riboswitch is found upstream of a number of genes which code for proteins involved in methionine or cysteine biosynthesis in Gram-positive bacteria. The SAM riboswitch acts at the level of transcription termination control. Lineage: Bacteria; Bacillati; Bacillota; Bacilli; Caryophanales; Bacillaceae. RNAcentral also lists the same sequence under 1 other name. The record is from RNAcentral.